CCCGCACAAAGGUAUUGUGUUCUGAACACAGAACAGUAAAUUAUUUACUGUUCAAAUUUGAAUUUUAAAUUUAAAUGCAUGCAUGCUAUAUAUCAUAUUUAGAUCCUAGUGUAGGGUAAAUAAAUGUUAAUUAAUUAGAUUAAUUAAUAAUUUCUACUAUAAAAUAAUGAUUUUGAAAAAAAUUUAAAAUUACCAUUUUACCCUUGCACUAAAAUUUCACUUCAAUAGGUUCGAACCUAAGUCGGUGGCACAGGAACUGAUUCUUAUACCAAUCGAAAUAACCAUCUAGUAAUAGUACCCGACGUCCAGAC
RNAcentral lists this long non-coding RNA (311 nucleotides) under Elaeis guineensis (African oil palm). RNAcentral describes it as "long non-coding RNA (EGUI_LNC065872)". The record is from RNAcentral. Lineage: Eukaryota; Viridiplantae; Streptophyta; Magnoliopsida; Arecales; Arecaceae.